UGAUGUGUAGGAUAGGUGGGAGGCUUUGAAGCGUGGACGCCAGUCUGCGUGGAGCCAACCUUGAAAUACCACCCUUUAAUGUUUGAUGUUCUAACGUUGGCCCCUGACCGGGGUUGCGGACAGUGUCUGGUGGGUAGUUUGACUGGGGCGGUCUCCUCCCAAAGCGUAACGGAGGAGCACGAAGGUUAGCUAAUCCUGGUCGGACAUCAGGAGGUUAGUGCAAUGGCAUAAGCUAGCUUGACUGCGAGCGUGACGGCGCGAGCAGGUGCGAAAGCAGGUCAUAGUGAUCCGGUGGUUCUGAAUGGAAGGGCCAUCGCUCAACGGAUAAAAGGUACUCCGGGGAUAACAGGCUGAUACCGCCCAAGAGUUCAUAUCGACGGCGGUGUUUGGCACCUCGAUGUCGGCUCAUCACAUCCUGGGGCUGAAGUAGGUCCCAAGGGUAUGGCUGUUCGCCAUUUAAAGUGGUACGCGAGCUGGGUUUAGAACGUCGUGAGACAGUUCGGUCCCUAUCUGCCGUGGGCGCUGGAGAAUUGAGGGGGGCUGCUCCUAGUACGAGAGGACCGGAGUGGACGCAUCACUGGUGUUCGGGUUGUCAUGCCAAUGGCACUGCCCGGUAGCUAAAUGCGGAAGAGAUAAGUGCUGAAAGCAUCUAAGCACGAAACUUGCCCCG
This 670-nucleotide ribosomal RNA is filed under the name Klebsiella pneumoniae. RNAcentral's name for it is "partial 23S ribosomal RNA". It matches the Rfam family "Bacterial large subunit ribosomal RNA", at positions 2132 to 2801 of the family's 2925-position model. The record is from RNAcentral. Lineage: Bacteria; Pseudomonadati; Pseudomonadota; Gammaproteobacteria; Enterobacterales; Enterobacteriaceae.